This 854-nucleotide ribosomal RNA is filed under the name uncultured archaeon. RNAcentral describes it as "bacterial SSU rRNA". It matches the Rfam family "Archaeal small subunit ribosomal RNA", at positions 78 to 934 of the family's 1478-position model. The record is from RNAcentral.
AUGGCAUACUGCUCAGUAACACGUGGAUAACCUGCCCUUGGGUCUGGGAUAACCCCGGGAAACUGGGGAUAAUACCGGAUAACGCAUAUGUGCUGGAAUGCUUUAUGCGUAAAAUGGAUUCGUCCGCCCAAGGAUGGGUCUGCGGCCUAUCAGGUAGUAGUGGGUGUAAUGUACCUACUAGCCAACAACGGGUACGGGUUGUGAGAGCAAGAGCCCGGAGACGGAUUCUGAGACAUGAAUCCAGGCCCUACGGGGCGCAGCAGGCGCGAAAACUUUACAAUGCGGGCAACCGUGAUAAGGGAACCUCGAGUGCCUGUAUAUGCAGGCUGUCUGGGUGUCUAAAACACACCCAAAGAAAGGGCCGGGCAAGACCGGUGCCAGCCGCCGCGGUAAUACCGGCGGCUCGAGUGGUGGCCACUUUUAUUGGGCUUAAAGCGUUCGUAGCUGGGUUAUUAAGUCCCUUGGGAAAUCCGACAGCUUAACUGUCGGGCGUCUAAGAGAUACUGGUAAUCUUGGAACCGGGAGAGGUGAGGGGUACUUCGGGGGUAGGAGUGAAAUCCUGUAAUCCUCGAGGGACCACCUGUGGCGAAGGCGCCUCACCAGAACGGCUUCGACAGUGAGGGACGAAAGCUGGGGGAGCAAACCGGAUUAGAUACCCGGGUAGUCCCAGCCGUAAACGAUGUGCGUUAGGUGUAUCGGUGACCACGAGUCACCGAGGUGCCGAAGGGAAACCGUGAAACGUACCGCCUGGGAAGUACGGUCGCAAGGCUGAAACUUAAAGGAAUUGGCGGGGGAGCACCACAACAGGUGGAGCCUGCGGUUUAAUUGGACUCAACGCCGGAAAUCUCACCGGA